AGAAGCUUGCUUCUAAAUAACCUAGCGGCGGACGGGUGAGUAACACGUAGGCAACCUGCCCACAAGACAGGGAUAACUACCGGAAACGGUAGCUAAUACCCGAUACAUCCUUUUCCUGCAUGGGAGAAGGAGGAAAGACGGAGCAAUCUGUCACUUGUGGAUGGGCCUGCGGCGCAUUAGCUAGUUGGUGGGGUAAAGGCCUACCAAGGCGACGAUGCGUAGCCGACCUGAGAGGGUGAUCGGCCACACUGGGACUGAGACACGGCCCAGACUCCUACGGGAGGCAGCAGUAGGGAAUCUUCCGCAAUGGGCGAAAGCCUGACGGAGCAACGCCGCGUGAGUGAUGAAGGUUUUCGGAUCGUAAAGCUCUGUUGCCAGGGAAGAACGUCUUGUAGAGUAACUGCUACAAGAGUGACGGUACCUGAGAAGAAAGCCCCGGCUAACUACGUGCCAGCAGCCGCGGUAAUACGUAGGGGGCAAGCGUUGUCCGGAAUUAUUGGGCGUAAAGCGCGCGCAGGCGGCUCUUUAAGUCUGGUGUUUAAUCCCGAGGCUCAACUUCGGGUCGCACUGGAAACUGGAGAGCUUGAGUGCAGAAGAGGAGAGUGGAAUUCCACGUGUAGCGGUGAAAUGCGUAAAGAUGUGGAGGAACACCAGUGGCGAAGGCGACUCUCUGGGCUGUAACUGACGCUGAGGCGCGAAAGCGUGGGGAGCAAACAGGAUUAAAUACCCUGGUAGUCCACGCCGUAAACAAUAAAAUGCUAAGUGUUAGGGGGUUCCAAACCCUUGGUGCCCAAAAUUAACACAUUAAACAUU
This 813-nucleotide ribosomal RNA is filed under the name Paenibacillus polymyxa. RNAcentral describes it as "bacterial SSU rRNA". It matches the Rfam family "Bacterial small subunit ribosomal RNA", at positions 74 to 868 of the family's 1533-position model. The record is from RNAcentral. Lineage: Bacteria; Bacillati; Bacillota; Bacilli; Caryophanales; Paenibacillaceae.